Molecule: ribosomal RNA, 433 nt
Filed under: uncultured bacterium
Lineage: Bacteria
Description: partial 16S ribosomal RNA
Rfam family: Bacterial small subunit ribosomal RNA
Source: RNAcentral
AACGAACGCUGGCGGCAUGCCUAACACAUGCAAGUCGAACGAGACCUUCGGGUCUAGUGGCGCACGGGUGCGUAACGCGUGGGAACCUGCCCUUAGGUUCGGAAUAACUCCCCGAAAGGGGUGCUAAUACCGGAUAAUGUCUUCGGACCAAAGAUUUAUCGCCUUUGGAUGGGCCCGCGUUGGAUUAGCUAGUUGGUAGGGUAAUAGCCUACCAAGGCGACGAUCCAUAGCUGGUCUGAGAGGAUGAUCAGCCACACUGGGACUGAGACACGGCCCAGACUCCUACGGGAGGCAGGAGAGGGGAAUAUUGGACAAUGGGCGAAAGCCUGAUCCAGCAAUGCCGCGUGAAUGAUGAAGGCCUUAGGGUUGUAAAGCUCUUUUACCCGGGAUGAUAAUGACAGUACCGGGAGAAUAAGCUCCGGCUAACUCCGUG